GCAGGUACAGAGGGAUGCUACCGGGCGACCGGAUGCGGAUCUCGAAAGCCUGUCCCAGUUCGGACUGGAGUCUGCAACCCGACUCCACGAAGUUGGAUUCGCUAGUAAUCGCGCAUCAGCCAUGGCGCGGUGAAUACGUUCCCGGGCCUUGUACACACCGCCCGUCAAGCCAUGGGAGCCGGGGGCGCCUGAAGUCCGGGACCGCGAGGACCGGCCUAGGGCGAAACUGGUAACUGGGGCUAAGUCGUAACAAGGUAAC
Molecule: ribosomal RNA, 259 nt
Filed under: uncultured bacterium
Lineage: Bacteria
Description: partial 16S ribosomal RNA
Rfam family: Bacterial small subunit ribosomal RNA
Source: RNAcentral